GGCAACUUCCAUAUCACGUUCGAAACUACCAGUUCUCGUCCGAUCACUGAAGUCAAGCAACGUUGAGCACGGUUAGUACUUGGACCGCUUGGGAACACCGUGUAAUGUUGUCU
Molecule: ribosomal RNA, 113 nt
Filed under: Acromyrmex echinatior (Panamanian leafcutter ant)
Lineage: Eukaryota; Metazoa; Arthropoda; Insecta; Hymenoptera; Formicidae
Source: RNAcentral